CAGAUCCUAUUUUUUAUGUGACCUGGUUUAUGGCAUAAAUUAAUUCAAUAUUAUGGGAUUCCAGCAUUAUGAGACUUCACAUCAUGGUAGCAUAACUAUAUGCUUAUGUAGUGGCUAAGAAAGGAGAGAUAAAGUUCCAGAGAUGAUAUAUUUGAGUGAUAGAGGGCCUUCAAAGGUACUACAGGCCACAGUAGUGCUGCUGGAAGGCUGACAUUGAAUAUCCCAAGUUGGAAGGGACCCACAGGGAAACCCUUCCCAAUCUACAUAGCCCUCCUUUGGAUGCUCUCUAAUAGCUUUAUGUCCUCAUAUUGUGGCACCCAAACCUGCACACAGUAGACGUGACUGCUUGGAUGGUGUUACGUAUUUCAGUGGUGAUGUGGCAGCUCUGCAAGUCAGGCAAUGGGAUUACCUCAAGUAUGAGGCACUAACGAACAUCCAUUGCUGUCCAGAGCUGCUCCUGGCCUGUUAUGAACAUGCCCUGCCCCUGGAAGUCAGCAGGAAGAGUACAGCCAAUGUCUAUGUGUGCAGCCAAAAUGCCUAUGCAACCCAAAGCCCAAUGGAAGCCGUGCCUGAUUUUCAUCAGAGUCUGGAGACAACCACAGCCCUGACCCUGACUCUCAUCCUCGAUGCUUUCUGUGGAUGUGUGAUACAGAUAAACUGCAACCAGCUGACUGGAUCCCAGAUUAUAAACUGUACUUCUGACAUUCAAAUUACUAAAAAUUAUUAGUUGUGUGCACAUCAUACUGAAACCUGAAUCAUCUGUGUAAACUAAAGGUUUCAGACAGUGCAAACCUGUGCAGAAGCGUUCCUGCUCUCUGCAGUGCUCUGCAGGUAGAAGUGAGGGCAGCAUCCGAGAAGCACACCAGCAGACUUUCUGUUGUUUUAUGGAUCACAGGGCUCAUCACAGCUCUCUGCAUUUAUCCAGUGCAAUGUCCUUGCUGUUUGCCUGCGUACUGAGGUCAUAAGGUUGCUGCCUCUGCCUGGAUAUGUCUCCUCUAGGACUCUGAAAUCAAACACAGCAUUUUAAUGAUGUUUCAUAUUCUUGGGGAGAGUUCCUUCCUAAAAUAACCCAUUGCAUGCAGUCAGAAGCAAGUAUCAUGCAUCAAAAUCUCAUUACCUCAAAUGAAAGGCAUGUAAGGAAACUGUCAUGUGAAGAAGUGCUUACAAGGAGAAGCAAUGUGCUGAAUUAGUUGCAAGAAAGGGUGAAAGUUGACCAUUGGGUCAGGGUAGGUUCUGCAAUUCGCUGGGGAAAGUUCAACACCAACAGUGACAACAGUUUAAGGUCUGUCUUCAGUACCGGGAUGGAUUUCCUGCAUCAUCUGGAUCUCAGUAAAUAUCCCCAUGAGAAGAGCAUCAAUGUCAGCUCCUGUUUCAGAGCACUGCCUGGAAGGCGAAGAUUGGGCCAAACAGCUCAGUCUGGAACUUUAGUCCAGCUGUUCUGGAAGCAGCUUCUUCCCCAUCCCCAGCUUCACGUGCCAGGCUGACAUGCCACUAAGGAAUCUGCUCUCUUCCCCCUUACAUCACAUGCACAGAUCCUAUUUAUAGCAGGAGAGAAUUUUUGCUCUUAUGCAUCAUUCCAGCCAGCAGGAAGCAAAACAGGAGGAGGCACCAGUGCAAGAAAACGCUCUCAUGAGCUGGGUUUGGAACACAGGAGGGAGGAUGCUCACAGUGCUCACAAAGAACCACACACUGUCUGCCGUGUGAUGCCCAAGAACCUUUUGGAGGCCUCCAUACCACAGGGAUGAGCACAUCUGAAUUGAGCCAAGUGUAUUUAGUUUUUAGAAGACUGGCAUAAGUCAUCUUUAUUGAAUAUAAUUUAGUUUUAACAUAUUGCUCUGUGCUUGAGUUAUUAUCUUCACUGUGCUUGGAGAAAUAAAUUACAUUGAAGCCUUUAUUUUUGACCUGUG
RNAcentral lists this long non-coding RNA (1907 nucleotides) under Coturnix japonica (Japanese quail). RNAcentral's name for it is "lncRNA (ENSCJPG00005020721.1)". Lineage: Eukaryota; Metazoa; Chordata; Aves; Galliformes; Phasianidae. The record is from RNAcentral.